This 387-nucleotide ribosomal RNA is filed under the name uncultured Bacteroidota bacterium. RNAcentral's name for it is "bacterial SSU rRNA". It matches the Rfam family "Bacterial small subunit ribosomal RNA", at positions 568 to 957 of the family's 1533-position model. Lineage: Bacteria; Pseudomonadati; Bacteroidota. The record is from RNAcentral.
UCCGUAGGUGGAUAAAUAAGUCAGAGGUGAAAUCCUGCAGCUUAACUGUAGAACUGCCUUUGAUACUGUUUAUCUUGAGUUAUUAUGAAGUGGUUAGAAUGUGUAGUGUAGCGGCGAAAUGCAUAGAUAUUACACAGAAUACCAAUUGCGAAGGCAGAUCACUAAUAAUCAACUGACACUGAUGGACGAAAGCGUGGGUAGCGAACAGGAUUAGAUACCCUGGUAGUCCACGCCGUAAACGAUGGUCACUAGCUGUUUGGACUUCGGUCUGAGUGGCUAAGCGAAAGUGAUAAGUGACCCACCUGGGGAGUACGUUCGCAAGAAUGAAACUCAAAGGAAUUGACGGGGGCCCGCACAAGCGGUGGAGCAUGUGGUUUAAUUCGAUGA